UGGGGAAUAUUGCACAAUGGAGGGAACUCUGAUGCAGCGACGCCGCGUGAACGAAGAAGGCUUUCGAGUCGUAAAGUUCUUUUAUAUGGGAAGAUAAUGACGGUACCAUAAGAAAAAGCCCCGGCUAACUACGUGCCAGCAGCCGCGGUAAUACGUAGGGGCCUAGCGUUGUCCGGAAUCACUGGGCGUAAAGGGUUCGCAGGCGGAAAUGCAAGUCAGGUGUAAAAGGCAGUAGCUUAACUACUGUAAGCAUUUGAAACUGCAUAUCUUGAGAAGAGUAGAGGUAAGUGGAAUUUUUAGUGUAGCGGUGAAAUGCGUAGAUAUUAAAAAGAAUACCGGUGGCGAAGGCGACUUACUGGGCUCAUUCUGACGCUGAGGAACGAAAGCGUGGGUAGCAAACAGG
RNAcentral lists this ribosomal RNA (403 nucleotides) under Fusobacteriota bacterium. RNAcentral's name for it is "Fusobacteria bacterium partial 16S ribosomal RNA". It matches the Rfam family "Bacterial small subunit ribosomal RNA", at positions 355 to 776 of the family's 1533-position model. The record is from RNAcentral. Lineage: Bacteria; Fusobacteriati; Fusobacteriota.